Molecule: ribosomal RNA, 444 nt
Filed under: uncultured bacterium
Lineage: Bacteria
Description: bacterial SSU rRNA
Rfam family: Bacterial small subunit ribosomal RNA
Source: RNAcentral
AACGCGAAGAACCUUACCUGGGCUCGAAAUGUAGUGGACCGGGGUGGAAACAUCCCUUCCCCGCAAGGGGCCGCUAUAUAGGUGCUGCAUGGCUGUCGUCAGCUCGUGCCGUGAGGUGUUGGGUUAAGUCCCGCAACGAGCGCAACCCUUACCCUUAGUUGCCACCCGCAAGGGGGAACUCUAAGGGGACUGCUCCGGAUAACGGAGAGGAAGGUGGGGAUGGAGGUCAAGGUCAGCAUGGCCUUUAUGUCCAGGGCUACACACGUGUUACAAUGCAUGGUACAGACCGUUGCAAACCCGCGAGGGGGAGCGUAACCGGAAAAAACCAUGACUCAGUUCGGAUUGCAGUCUGCAACUCGACUGCAUGAAGCUGGAAUCGCUAGUAAUGGCGUAUCAGAACGACGCCGUGAAUACGUUCCCGGGCCUUGUACACACCGAGACGAC